This 1443-nucleotide ribosomal RNA is filed under the name uncultured organism. Its description in RNAcentral is "SSU rRNA". It matches the Rfam family "Bacterial small subunit ribosomal RNA". The record is from RNAcentral.
UACAGGCUUAACACAUGCAAGUCGAGGGGCAGCAUGGUCUUAGCUUGCUAAGGCCGAUGGCGACCGGCGCACGGGUGAGUAACACGUAUCCAACCUGCCGUCUACUCUUGGACAGCCUUCUGAAAGGAAGAUUAAUACAAGAUGGCAUCAUGAGUCCGCAUGUUCACAUGAUUAAAGGUAUUCCGGUAGACGAUGGGGAUGCGUUCCAUUAGAUAGUAGGCGGGGUAACGGCCCACCUAGUCUUCGAUGGAUAGGGGUUCUGAGAGGAAGGUCCCCCACAUUGGAACUGAGACACGGUCCAAACUCCUACGGGAGGCAGCAGUGAGGAAUAUUGGUCAAUGGGCGAGAGCCUGAACCAGCCAAGUAGCGUGAAGGAUGACUGCCCUAUGGGUUGUAAACUUCUUUUAUAAAGGAAUAAAGUCGGGUAUGGAUACCCGUUUGCAUGUACUUUAUGAAUAAGGAUCGGCUAACUCCGUGCCAGCAGCCGCGGUAAUACGGAGGAUCCGAGCGUUAUCCGGAUUUAUUGGGUUUAAAGGGAGCGUAGAUGGAUGUUUAAGUCAGUUGUGAAAGUUUGCGGCUCAACCGUAAAAUUGCAGUUGAUACUGGAUAUCUUGAGUGCAGUUGAGGCAGGCGGAAUUCGUGGUGUAGCGGUGAAAUGCUUAGAUAUCACGAAGAACUCCGAUUGCGAAGGCAGCCUGCUAAGCUGCAACUGACAUUGAGGCUCGAAAGUGUGGGUAUCAAACAGGAUUAGAUACCCUGGUAGUCCACACGGUAAACGAUGAAUACUCGCUGUUUGCGAUAUACUGCAAGCGGCCAAGCGAAAGCGUUAAGUAUUCCACCUGGGGAGUACGCCGGCAACGGUGAAACUCAAAGGAAUUGACGGGGGCCCGCACAAGCGGAGGAACAUGUGGUUUAAUUCGAUGAUACGCGAGGAACCUUACCCGGGCUUAAAUUGCAGAUGAAUUACGGUGAAAGCCGUAAGCCGCAAGGCAUCUGUGAAGGUGCUGCAUGGUUGUCGUCAGCUCGUGCCGUGAGGUGUCGGCUUAAGUGCCAUAACGAGCGCAACCCUUGUUGUCAGUUACUAACAGGUCAUGCUGAGGACUCUGACAAGACUGCCAUCGUAAGAUGUGAGGAAGGUGGGGAUGACGUCAAAUCAGCACGGCCCUUACGUCCGGGGCUACACACGUGUUACAAUGGGGGGUACAGAGGGCCGCUACCACGCGAGUGGAUGCCAAUCCCCAAAACCUCUCUCAGUUCGGACUGGAGUCUGCAACCCGACUCCACGAAGCUGGAUUCGCUAGUAAUCGCGCAUCAGCCACGGCGCGGUGAAUACGUUCCCGGGCCUUGUACACACCGCCCGUCAAGCCAUGGGAGCCGGGGGUACCUGAAGUGCGUAACCGCGAGGAGCGCCCUAGGGUAAAACUGGUGACUGGGGCUAAGUCA